GCCCAGUCAAAGCAUUAUUUUCUUGGUUUUUAAUAACAGGUAUCAAGAAAGGUUUCAUUUUUCCAAGGGUUUCAAGAAACAACAUGAAAGUCAUUGCUGGAUCAGCAAGAGGGGUUACCUACUACCGCAAAUGGUUUUCUGAAAUGUGCAAAAAUCGCUUUGGAAAGCAUUAUACCACACAUAGUAUCAGGAGAUCAGCAGCAAAGUGGGCUGCAAGAUGUGGUGCUGAUGACAGUACAAUCAA
Long non-coding RNA from Exaiptasia diaphana, 244 nucleotides. RefSeq lists it as uncharacterized. NCBI's taxonomy places the organism in Eukaryota, Metazoa, Cnidaria, Anthozoa, Actiniaria, Aiptasiidae. The transcript has 3 exons. The record is from RefSeq and is a predicted model, not a curated record.